UGAAUACGAGACGCUACGGCGUCGAAGCAGUGUAUGUCAGACUUCCAAGAAAAGCUCGCUAUGUCAUAAAUAAAAGAUGCCUGUACCAUAACCGACACAGGUGGGUAGGUAGAGUAUACUAAGGGGCGCGAGAUAACUCUCUCUAAGGAACUCGGCAAAAUAACUCCGUAACUUCGGGAGAAGGAGUGCCUUAUUUAUAAGGUUGCAAUAACAAGAUCCAAGCAACUGUUUAUCAAAAACACAGGUCUCCGCUAAGUCGUAAGACGAUGUAUGGGGGCUGACGCCUGCCCAGUGCCAGAAGGUUAAAGAAGUUGGUUAGUUUCGACGAGGCUGAUGACUGAAGCCCUGGUGAACGGCGGCCGUAACGAUAACGGUCCUAAGGUAGCGAAAUUCCUUGUCGGGUAAGUUCCGACCCGCACGAAAGGCGUAAUGAUUUGGAUACUGUCUCGGAGAGGGACUCGGUGAAAUAGACUUGUCUGUGAAGAUGCGGACUACCUGCACCAGGACAGAAAGACCCUAUGAAGCUUUACUGUAACUUGAAAUUGAAAUUGGACUUUGUUUGCGCAGUAUAGGUGGGAGGCGUUGAGAAUAUUCUUGCGGGAAUAUUGGAGCCAUCAGUGAGAUACCACUCCUAUAAUGUUAGAUUUCUAACUUUGUAUCAUAAUCUGGUCAAAGAACAGUUUCAGGCGGGCAGUUUGACUGGGGCGGUCGCCUCCCAAAUGGUAACGGAGGCGUACAAAGGUUUCCUCUGAACGGGUAGAAAUCGUAUCUAGAGUAUAAAGGCAUAAGGAAGCUUGACUGUGAGACCUACAAGUCGAGCAGGGACGAAAGUCGGUCUUAGUGAUCUGACGGUGCUGAGUGGAAAGGCCGUCACUCAACGGAUAAAAGUUACUCUAGGAUAACAGGCUGAUCUCCCCCAAGAGUUCACAUCGACGGGGAGGUUUGGCACCUCGAUGUCGGCUCAUCGCAUCCUGGGGCGGUAGUACGUCCCAAGGGUUGGGCUGUUCGCCCAUGAAAGCGGUACGCGAGCUGGGUUCAGAACGUCGUGAGACAGUUCGGUCCAUAUCCGGUGUAGGCGUUAGAAUAUUGAGAGGAGCCUUCUUUAGUACGAGAGGACCGAGAAGGACAUACCUCUGGUGUACCAGUUAUCGUGCCAACGGUAAACGCUGGGUAGCUAUGUAUGGAGAGGAUAACCGCUGAAAGCAUCUAAGUGGGAAGCCCACCUCAAGAUGAGUAUUCC
RNAcentral lists this ribosomal RNA (1240 nucleotides) under metagenome. RNAcentral describes it as "bacterial LSU rRNA". It matches the Rfam family "Bacterial large subunit ribosomal RNA", at positions 1564 to 2814 of the family's 2925-position model. The record is from RNAcentral.